UUAUGCUUUACUGUGCGGUCAAAGAACUGAAUCUAUCAAAAGUCAAAAUUGAAAUCUGUUAUCUGCUCCUGAUCUCGACUAAAAAGAGGUAAAACACCCCGAUUACUCUUUCUAUCUCUCUUUAUAUGUGUGUGUGUGUUUCCAAAAACUAUUUGAUUUUGGAUUUCACGAAUCGAGAAGUGGCUUAUUUUCCCAAUGAUUGUUCUUUACGAUUUGGUUAUCUGAAACGGCCUCCGACCUCCUGUUUGUGACUUCUUCAUCUGUGUAACAACCACCACAUGAAUCAUGAAGGCUAAAAAGAGGUUAUAUUGAGAAAUUAUGUUUUCAAAGGUUUGCAUUCUUGACCAUGACUCAUAAUCUGAGGUAAAACCACUUCCAUUGGUUAAUGUUUUCGAUUUUUCAUGUUUUUUUUUAUUGAAGAAUGAAAAUGAACGAACCCCAGAUUGAUGUUCUUGGUGCCUGGAAAUGAAUGGAACCACAAACUAAUUGGAAAGAUUAACCUAAUUUCCUGUUUUUAUACAUGUAUUUACCUAAAUUUUGCAAUUGUGUUUACAAAAUUUAAAUAAAAAUGGAUUUUUUGGUGAUUUCAGUCACUUGGAAGAAGACAUAAGGACCUGUAACUAAAUAUCACUCAUUAGGUAAAGCUUAAAUCCCUUCUCCCACACCAAGAGCUUGGAAGGUGGGCAAGUGGUAUUUUUUGUGUAAAUAUGGGCUAUUUUCUAAGGAAUUUGCUCAUAGGUGCGAUAAAGGAAAUAAGGGAAAAAUCAAUUAAAAAGGCUAUUGUGCUGUUUGUUAAGGUAUAUUUACCAUUUUACUUUAAAAAAAAGUCGGUUAGAUACUUAAAUCUCAUAUUUCUGAAAGUGAGACAAAAAGAUCUCAUUUUUGUUCUGACUUUCAUAUAAUAGAGUAAAUUACAAAUAUUUUGAAUUAAUGAUUUUGAACAAAUUGGUAAAUAAGUUUAUCUGCGUCUAAAACAAACAAAAAAAGUGACCCCUUAAAAUAGACCUUUGAAGAAACCUAUCCUCUUGGCCACAUGUAAUCAACUAUCAUGUUUCACAUCUUUUGUAAAUACACUAAAUUUAUUUUGGUUCCAACUAGCAUUAUCUGCUCAAGUUUUGUUGUGGGUGUUGCCCUUCUAGAAAGAAAAUCGGUUUUCAAGUACAACUUUGUAAAAUAUAAACAUAAUUUUCAUUUGUUUAUGCCAAAAAUAUAAAAUUGUUGUUUUUAUUUGUAUUGUGAAAGUAUAGUGUUCAUUUGUGUUUCAGUAAUACAGUUUUAAGAAAUAGAAAGACAUUAUCAUUACAACACCAAGUUCAAGUAGUGGCUUCAUUUGUGUUGCAGUAAUGUAGUUUUGAUGUUAUAAAGUCAAUGUUAUAUGAUGUCUCUUCAACCAUUUCUUUGCUCAAAAAUAAUAAAGAGGGACCUCAUUAUGAUUCUCAACUCUAAAAGGUACGUUACAUAAUAAAAUAUAUUGCUUUUGAGUUUUGAGAAUAUCAUAUAAAUUUUCAGAUUUCUUGAAAGAUUAGUGACUACACAUGAUGUAAGUCAUAAAUUUUAUAGGGGUUGUUGGAGAGGGCAGGGGCAGGUGAAUUUUGUCUAAAUCUUUAGGUAUAUAAAUAUGUAUACUUAUGACGUGCUUGUGUUGGUUGAAUAUGUGUGAUACAUAUAUAGGCAGACAUAUGUGAAUAUUUUCCAUAUUAGCAGCAAUGGUCCCUGUGUUUAUGUAUAUUUGUUGUGUUUUAGCUAAAAAUGAUUUUGUGUCUUGCGUGUAAUGUAUGUUUGCUUAGAAGUUAAAAAAAAAAAAAUAGCUUAACAUAUGUUGAUGUUUCUAGAAUUUAGCAAGAAAUAGUCGUGUACUUUAAUAUAUUUGUUUAUUCACAAUAUCAUAUUUUCAUUAUUUC
Molecule: long non-coding RNA, 1901 nt
Organism: Lactuca sativa (garden lettuce)
Lineage: Eukaryota; Viridiplantae; Streptophyta; Magnoliopsida; Asterales; Asteraceae
Source: RefSeq, a predicted model, not a curated record